This 279-nucleotide unclassified non-coding RNA is filed under the name plant metagenome. RNAcentral describes it as "partial contains small subunit ribosomal RNA, internal transcribed spacer 1, and 5.8S ribosomal RNA". The record is from RNAcentral.
UUUCCGUAGGUGAACCAGCGGAAGGAUCAUUAUUGUAGCACCGAUGAACACGGACUGUGAAUGUCCCGACUGGCCGCGCACGCCCGACGGCACUCACACGCCUCCGUCUCACCCCUGCGUGCACCACCGCGCCCGUCCCCCCUUGGCGCGCUCGGCGGGGGGCUUACGGUGUCCCGCAAGCUUUGUUUGCAGUAAAAAAUAUAUUUUAUCUUUUUGCAAUCACGCAAUCAAUACAACUUUCAACAACGGACCUCUUGGCUCUCACAUCGAUGAAUAACG